RNAcentral lists this ribosomal RNA (303 nucleotides) under uncultured bacterium. RNAcentral's name for it is "partial 16S ribosomal RNA". It matches the Rfam family "Bacterial small subunit ribosomal RNA", at positions 507 to 808 of the family's 1533-position model. The record is from RNAcentral.
AGCAGUCGCCACGGUAAUACGUAGGUGGCGAGCGUUGUCCGGAAUUAUUGGGCGUAAAGGGAGCGCAGGCGGACAUAUAAGUCCAUCUUAAAAGUGCGGGGCUCAACCCCGUGAGGGGAUGGAAACUGUAUGCCUUGAGUGCAGGAGAGGAAAGCGGAAUUCCCAGUGUAGCGGUGAAAUGCGUAGAUAUUAGGAAGAACACCGAUGGCGUAGGCAGGCGACUGGGAUAUUUCUGACGCUACGGCACGAAAGCGUGGGUAGCGAACCGGAUUAGAUACCCCCGUAGUCCCUGUCUCUUAUACA